AGUGAACGCUGGCGGCAGGCCUAAUACAUGCAAGUCGAACGGCAGCACAGCAGAGCUUGCUCUGUGGGUGGCGAGUGGCGGACGGGUGAGGAAUACAUGGGAAUCUGCCCAGUCGUGGGGGAUAACGUAUGGAAACGUACGCUAAUACCGCAUGCGCCCUAAGGGGGAAAGCCGGGGACCGCAAGGCCUGGCGCGAUUGGAUGAGCCCAUGUUCGAUUAGCUAGUUGGCGGGGUAAAGGCCCACCAAGGCGACGAUCGAUAGCUGGUCUGAGAGGAUGAUCAGCCACACUGGAACUGAGACACGGUCCAGACUCCUACGGGAGGCAGCAGUAGGGAAUAUUGGACAAUGGGGGCAAGCCUGAUCCAGCAAUGCCGCGUGAGUGAAGAAGG
RNAcentral lists this ribosomal RNA (390 nucleotides) under uncultured bacterium. RNAcentral's name for it is "bacterial SSU rRNA". It matches the Rfam family "Bacterial small subunit ribosomal RNA", at positions 30 to 414 of the family's 1533-position model. The record is from RNAcentral.